Molecule: unclassified non-coding RNA, 200 nt
Filed under: Acrostalagmus sp.
Lineage: Eukaryota; Fungi; Ascomycota; Sordariomycetes; Glomerellales; Plectosphaerellaceae
Also listed under: 1 other name
Description: partial internal transcribed spacer 2
Source: RNAcentral
UUAAGUUCAGCGGGUAUUCCUACCUGAUCCGAGGUCAACCGUUGCCGCCGGGGCGGUCUUUGUAGGGGGUUUCGAGGCUGGUAAGCCCGCGAGCCGUCCAGAGCGAGAAUGAUAUUACUACGCAAAGGGCUGGGACUUGCGGGACCGCCACUGCAUUUAGGGGGGCUGCCCAGGUAGCUGGGCAGCGUCCCCAACACCGG